Molecule: long non-coding RNA, 1222 nt
Filed under: Phoenix dactylifera (date palm)
Lineage: Eukaryota; Viridiplantae; Streptophyta; Magnoliopsida; Arecales; Arecaceae
Description: long non-coding RNA (PDAC_LNC006073)
Source: RNAcentral
AAUCUUAACGUGUCUCCUUAACAUCACUCCGUUUGCUGAAGGACAAUCCUCACCACGGAAGGUGUGUAUUGAAAAAAUAUAUUUAAGCAUGCAUAGAAUUUUUCACCUAACAGGUAUCAAGCAUCCAAAGAAACCUUUAAAAGUUUGGAAUGGUUUGAAUCACGACUACCUAACAGGUAUCAGUAUAAUAACCAUUAUAUUCAAAUCUUUAUUUACUCAUAAGCCCUUUCUAUGUUGUAGUCUUCCAUUCCUGCUAUAUUCUAUAUUUCUAAUAAGGCUAUGAGUGCAAUGAUAUGCUUAUUACUUCCUUGGAAAGCUAACAUUUUGUCGAUUAGGAAAUAGAUAUGUCGGUGUAGCAGCAUUUUAAUUUACAUAUCAUAAUAAUAGAGAAAUAGAGUGUAAUCAUAUUGGUCAAAUGUUUCCUUGAGGCCAACAACCCAACCGAGCAAAUUCCAGACCUCCGGCCCGAUUGAGGACCUCAUGGAUGAACCAUGAACCAUCCAAUGGAGUGGUGGUUACCUUCCAAGGAGCAAGGAGCCAUCUAUUAAACUUUCUAAGUGGGUCCUCUGGAUUCACCAACCUUAUGGAUAUCCACCUUCCCCCUUACACAAAUGGUGGUUGCCUCUUGGGUCCAAGUAAUUUCAGAGCUAUCCACUCUGGAUCAAACCUCUGUCAGUAAAAUUACAUUCAAAGUAGAAUUAACUUAUACAAAAAUAAAAAUAAAAUAAAAUGAAGACUCAACCUAGCCUUGUUUGACAAAAGUAAAUGCUCAUAUUUCUAAUACAAAACAAAUCCUUAGCAUUGGCUUUUUAAUAAUCUUGGUGGGUGUUUAAGCCAUUUUUUUCUCUAUUUAAAAACAAUGGUGGAAUCACCUGUUGGAUGAAAAGCAUGGGGAACAAUACCAAGAAUUGAACCUAGAACAUCCUUCCACUUAUAUACAAUGAUUAAUAUAUUUCAAUAAAGAAGAGCAAAAUUAUCUAUCUUGUAGCGCAUUUACAUCCAUGUUUAGUGGUUAGGUUACCCCAACAAUAUGGUAAAAAAGAAACCAAAAGAAUAGUCUCAGCCAGUCUAUUAAUAUCAUAUCAGCCUAAAUCUUUUGAAAUGGUAAAAAUCCAUAUUUUACAGAUAUUACAUUCAUGGAGGUCCGACACAAACAGAGUUAUCUUAUCCAAGAUCAAGAGGAUGGUACCAAUAAAUCUCAAUCUGCUUAGGUUGGUCCAGA